GGCUUGGUGAAGUGGUAUCACGGCGGUCUCCAAAACCGCAGUCAGGCGUUCGAUUCGCCUAGCCC
This 65-nucleotide transfer RNA is filed under the name Arthrobacter russicus. Its description in RNAcentral is "tRNA-Trp". It matches the Rfam family "tRNA". From Rfam's summary of the family: Transfer RNA (tRNA) molecules are approximately 80 nucleotides in length. Their secondary structure includes four short double-helical elements and three loops (D, anti-codon, and T loops). Lineage: Bacteria; Bacillati; Actinomycetota; Actinomycetes; Micrococcales; Micrococcaceae. The record is from RNAcentral.